Non-coding RNA from Pelobates cultripes (western spadefoot toad), 72 nucleotides. Lineage: Eukaryota; Metazoa; Chordata; Amphibia; Anura; Pelobatidae. The record is from the annotation of a GenBank genome assembly.
ACAAGCUUUCGGGAGAACCUCCCUUUCUCAAGUCUGAAGCAUUUGAGAAAGGGAGGUUCUCCCGAAAGCUUG